RNAcentral lists this ribosomal RNA (791 nucleotides) under uncultured bacterium. Its description in RNAcentral is "bacterial SSU rRNA". It matches the Rfam family "Bacterial small subunit ribosomal RNA", at positions 8 to 796 of the family's 1533-position model. The record is from RNAcentral.
AGAGUUUGAUCAUGGCUCAGAGCGAACGCUGGCGGCAGGCCUAACACAUGCAAGUCGAGCGCCCCUCCUUCAAGCGAGCUUGGAGGAUUGCGGAGCGAGCCUUUAGGGGCUCGCUUGAUGGAGGGGAGCGGCAGACGGGAGAGUAACACGUGGGAACGUACCCUUUGGUUCGGAACAACCCAGGGAAACUUGGGCUAAUACCGAAUAAGCCCUUACGGGGAAAGAUUUAUCGCCGAAGGAUCGGCCCGCGUCUGAUUAGCUAGUUGGUGAGGUAACGGCUCACCAAGGCGACGAUCAGUAGCUGGUCUGAGAGGAUGAUCAGCCUCACUGGGACUGAGACACGGCCCAGACUCCUACGGGAGGCAGCAGUGGGGAAUAUUGGACAAUGGGCGCAAGCCUGAUCCAGCCAUGCCGCGUGGGUGAUGAAGGCCCUAGGGUUGUAAAGCCCUUUCGGCGGGGAAGAUAAUGACGGUACCCGCAGAAGAAGCCCCGGCUAACUUCGUGCCAGCAGCCGCGGUAAUACGAAGGGGGCUAGCGUUGCUCGGAAUCACUGGGCGUAAAGCGCACGUAGGCGGAUUGCUAAGUCAGGGGUGAAAUCCUGGAGCUCAACUCCAGAACUGCCUUUGAUACUGGCGACCUUGAGUCCGGGAGAGGUGAGUGGAACUGCGAGUAGAGGUGAAAUUCGUAGAUAUUCGCAAGAACACCAGUGGCGAAGGCGGCUCACUGGCCCGGUACUGACGCUGAGGUGCGAAAGCGUGGGGAGCAAACAGGAUUAGAUACCCUAGUAGUCC